This 766-nucleotide long non-coding RNA is filed under the name Olea europaea (common olive). RNAcentral's name for it is "long non-coding RNA (OEUR_LNC014417)". The record is from RNAcentral. Lineage: Eukaryota; Viridiplantae; Streptophyta; Magnoliopsida; Lamiales; Oleaceae.
CAAAAUAAAUGAAGCACACCACAAUAUGUUGAACCAGAAGAUAUAUUGAAUAAAAAUAAAAUACCGGACUCAUACAUGACACAAUUAAAAAAAAAGUAUGAGUACCGAUCAGCAACGUAAGGCAUGGUCAAUUAUCGUAAUAGUAAUACUGAAAUGAAAUGUUAGAUAAAGUAAGAGGUGAUAAUGAUAUUCCGCAUGGACAACACAAAAUGUGAGGAAUGUGUCCAAGUAUCACCACGCAACACAAGAGUAUUUAAAAUGUCAUGUAGAACGAAUUCAAACAACACGUAUUUAUCUAGGAAGUUAACAUCUGUCACCACCUCCACCAAUUCGAUGACAGAGCAAUACCAACUACAAGACUAUCUUCAUGCUCUCCCGACAGUUCAUACCCGUUUUAGUUCUUUGUUCGCUUCGCCCCCUAGUGUACGGCGUCCUGGUAGCAGGAGCUGGACGUCGCAGCCGUGCCGAGUGCCAUCUCGUCGUAGGAAAUCUAUGUCCUGGUUCGGCUAUAGUGGUUGGAACAGGGACUUCAGUGAGAUCGCCUACGAGAAAUCAAAAGUAGGGGGGAGUUAGUUACCCUAAAUGACCUUCAUUUACCAUACGUAACAUAUCCACUAGUAAUGCAGACAAUAUACUUACCAUCGCCGUCCGUAACGUCGCAACCCUCGAACUCUGCAUCGUUGAUCGGGGCCGCAUGUGAGGGCUCCAUGGCUCCUCCAUCUGAUGAUUACAACACAUACAUAACUAUAUAGCGUUUCACGUUUGC